RNAcentral lists this long non-coding RNA (784 nucleotides) under Homo sapiens (human). RNAcentral's name for it is "KIF5C antisense RNA 1". Lineage: Eukaryota; Metazoa; Chordata; Mammalia; Primates; Hominidae. The record is from RNAcentral.
AAGCACCAACCAAAAGAAGAAAGGAGGAUAGAAAAAAUAAAAUGGAAGAUGUAGGGUGGGCAGAUUAGGGCUGCGUUUGUUGCUUGCUUUCAUGUUACCAUCAUAGCGUUUUUGCCACUUACAAAGGAGGAAAAAAAUCAAUUCUGUGCCAACCCAGACAACAGAGACCUGAGUGGGGGUUGGGAAGAGAGAUUUUUCAGCACAGAAUCAGACUCCUUCUCCAAAGAGCUGUGUGGCCUUCACCUGCAAGGCGACCUCUUCCACAAGCAGAGGCCAGGACAAAAAGAGGCACCUGUGAGCGACAAAGACGGUUUCCUUGGUUUCCCUCACGGCGCCAAGCGGAGUGGCCGCCUCCCACCACAGGGCCCCCUAAUGGGCGCUUUUGUCCUGCGGGGCAGAGGGACCUCAUUAGAAGGCGCUGGUGCUAAAGGGAAAUGCAUUUCCAGAACAGGAGGUUUCAUCAUUCCUAGCGUUAGCGACAGAAUGGUGACAGAAGCUCUGUGGACGUAUUUUCCAGCGUUCAGUUCACAUCAAGGAUGGGUAUGCACUGGCGGAAAAGGUCAGCUCGCAGAAUGAUCGCCCAUCCACACAGCGUUUGGAGGUCAGACGUUCCUGAUGACUGUGAAAAUGGGGAGGUGAGAAGAGGUCGUCAAAGGGAGCAGCCUUUUAAAGCCAGGUCAGCUGCUAACAAAUUUUGUGACUUUGGAAAAUGUACUGAACUUCUCUGAAUGUUUAUUUUUUUAUCCCAUCUGUUGAAACGGUGCUAAAAAUAUUAUCUACUCUU